This 254-nucleotide ribosomal RNA is filed under the name uncultured bacterium. RNAcentral describes it as "partial 16S ribosomal RNA". It matches the Rfam family "Bacterial small subunit ribosomal RNA", at positions 524 to 777 of the family's 1533-position model. The record is from RNAcentral.
UACGAAGGGUGCUAGCGUUGUUCGGAAUCACUGGGCGUAAAGCGCGCGUAGGCGGCUUUGUAAGUUAGAGGUGAAAGCCCGGAGCUCAACUCCGGAACUGCCUUUAAAACUGCAUCGCUUGAAUCCAGGAGAGGUGAGUGGAAUUCCGAGUGUAGAGGUGAAAUUCGUAGAUAUUCGGAAGAACACCAGUGGCGAAGGCGGCUCACUGGACUGGUAUUGACGCUGAGGUGCGAAAGCGUGGGGAGCAAACAGGG